UUAACACAUGNAAGUCGAGCGCGGUCCUUUGGUGCUUGCACAAGAAGACUGAGCGGCGGACGGGUGANUAACGCGUGGGUAACCUGCCCUAUACACAUGGAUAACAUGCUGAAAAGCAUACUAAUACAUGAUAACGUACACUGAUGGCAUCUUCGGUGUAUCAAAGCGUUAGCUUAUAGGAUGGACCCGCGUCUGAUUAGCUAGUUGGUGGGGUAAAAGCCUACCAAGGCCACGAUCAGUAGCCGACCUGAGAGGGUGAUCGGCCACAUUGGAACUGAGACACGGUCCAAACUCNNNCGGGAGGCAGCAGUGGGGAAUAUUGCACAAUGGGCGAAAGUGAUGCAGCAACGCCGCGUGAACGAUGAAGGCUCCGGAUCGUAAGUUCUGUCGCAGGGGAAGAUAAUGACGGUACCCUGUGAGGAAGCACCGGCUAACUACGUGCCAGCAGCCGCGGUAAUACGUAGGGUGCUAGCGUUAUCCGGNNNNAHGGCGUAAAGGGUGCGUANNGGUCUUUCAAGUCGGUGGUUAAAGGCUACGCUCAACCGUAUUAGCGCCGAAACUGGAGACUUGAGUGCAGGAGAGAAAGUGGAUCUCAGUGUAGCGUGAAUGCGUAGAUAUUGAGAGACACCAGUAGCGAGGCGGCUUUCUGGACUGUACUGACACUGAGCACGAAAGCGUGGGUAGCAAACAGGAUUAGAUACCUGUAGUCACGCGUAAACGAUGAGUAUUAGGUGCGGGUACCCCCCCUCGUGCCGCAGUUAACGCAUUAAAUACUCCGCCUGGGAGUACGCACGCAAGUGUGAAACUCAAAGGAAUUGACGGGACCCGCACAAGUAGCGGAGCAUGUGGUUUAAUUCGAAGCAACGCGAAGAACCUUACCUAAGCUUGACAUCUCUCAGAUCGGUAGUUAAUCCUACCUUCUUCGGGGCUGAGAUGACAGGUGGUGCAUGGUUGUCGUCAGCUCGUGUCGUGAGAUGUUGGGUUAAGUCCCGCAACGAGCGCAACCCUUGUCUUUAGUUGCCAGCAUUAAGUUGGGCACUCUAGAGAGACUGCCAGGGAUAACCUGGAGGAAGGUGGGGAUGACGUCAAAUCAUCAUGCCCCUUAUGCUUAGGGCUACACACGUGCUACAAUGGGUGGUACAGAGGGUUGCCAAGCCGCAAGGUGGAGCUAAUCCCUUAAAGCCAUUCUCAGUUCGGAUUGUAGGCUGAAACUCGCCUACAUGAAGCUGGAGUUACUAGUAAUCGCAGAUCAGAAUGCUGCGGUGAAUGCGUUCCCGGGUCUUGUACACACCGCCCGUCACACCAUGGAAGUUGGAAACACCCGAAGCCGAUUAUCUAACCGCAAGGAAGAAGUCGUCGAA
Molecule: ribosomal RNA, 1361 nt
Filed under: Peptostreptococcaceae bacterium WN082
Lineage: Bacteria; Bacillati; Bacillota; Clostridia; Peptostreptococcales; Peptostreptococcaceae
Description: bacterial SSU rRNA
Rfam family: Bacterial small subunit ribosomal RNA
Source: RNAcentral